AAAGCAAUGUCAAACUUCUCUUACCGGAUCAUAGCAUCUUCGUCUCUGAUCGAACAUGUAAAAUCAGGAUCGAUGGUAUGGAAGCGAUUCCAUAUUGCUAAGAGAUAAUCAAGGUGAGGGCUCAAAAAGCUUUCAGACGCCCACUUUUUGGUAAAUUGUCAUUUAAAAGUGGGCUUUACUUAAAGUGGUUUGUCCCUCGUAUAAUUCAACCAGAGUUGGU
This 220-nucleotide unclassified non-coding RNA is filed under the name Hevea brasiliensis (rubber tree). Lineage: Eukaryota; Viridiplantae; Streptophyta; Magnoliopsida; Malpighiales; Euphorbiaceae. The record is from RNAcentral.